Long non-coding RNA from Triticum aestivum (bread wheat), 1023 nucleotides. RefSeq lists it as uncharacterized. The transcript has 2 exons. Lineage: Eukaryota; Viridiplantae; Streptophyta; Magnoliopsida; Poales; Poaceae. The record is from RefSeq and is a predicted model, not a curated record.
UGCGAUCCUUUACGUUGAACGUAGACGACGCUCGAGCACAACUUUUGGAUCGGGUCAACGCGGCUGCUCGAGCGGCUGGGGGCGGCGCGGCGGCUUAAUGCAGUAUGGCGGCGACGGCUGGAGCUUGCAGGGGAAGGAUCCGUGCGCGGCAGGUGCUAGGGAGGCGAAUCCGGAGGAAGGCGGCGAGGCGGGGGUCGCCGGUGACGACGAAGAAGACAGUAGCGCGGCUUCCCGGGGCGGGUCAAUGGAAUCCGCGGCUCCAGGCAGAAAGGAGAUAUGGAGGUGAGGGAGAGAAGAUGGGGGAAAGGAGGGGUGGUGCGGCGACCUAGGAAGGAGCUCGCCGGAGCUCGACGACGGCGGACGGGCGCGGGAGACAGAGGGAUUCGGUGCCGCUGCUACUCUCCUGGUCGCUGCCUCGCCUCCCUGGUAUUCCUCCUCUCACCUCUCCUACCUUGACGACAUCUGCUGCGUCGCCCACGGCCCAGGCCUCGGCCCCACAUCACCAACAUCUCCGCCUCAAGCACACCUGCCACUGCACCCAGCGGCUCGUCGCCAUGACCGUAUCCAGCAAGGGAUGGAGUGAAGAAAUUGGAUUGGGAUCAUGGAGUAAAUCAAAUGAGGAUGCAACUCAUGUUCGUGUAGGUAGUCAUUCAGACAUUACUCUUUAGCAAAUAGUUCACAUGGUAGAGCCAGUCGUGGUGCAGACGCUAGAUAGUUUUAGUAUUCAGCCUUUCAGUUGCUGCUAGCUCUACUCUGCUUUGUCCUUUCGUAAUGGCAAUGUAGCAGCUGUGUGAUACGAUUGCAACGCGGAGUCUUCACUGCAUAUUACCUGCCGGGAACAUAUGUGUUUUUGUCGACAUAAAGUUCUAACCUGAAUUUGCUAUUCAGGUGGCAAAUCCAAUUAUUUAUGUACUGUAUUUGCAUUUUGCAAGAUAAUUUGGCUGCCAAAGUGCUACAUCGUAUCUCACUAGACCUACUGAGCAAGUGGUUAUUUUUCAUUUAUAUAUCAUUCAGAUUUCUAUA